GUAAAUUAAUAUAUUGUUUCAGAAUGCAAAUAGUGGUUGUUUAGGGACAGGAAUCAAGGAACUGAUGGAUUUCAAGGGAGCAGGAGGAGUCUCAGAAGUCUGCAUAAAGGCAAACAGUUAACCAAAACCUGAAUGAAAGUUUGAGUGAGAGUAUUCUUCCUAGAAGGGUUUGACAGAAAAAGAAAAAA
Long non-coding RNA from Canis lupus familiaris (dog), 188 nucleotides. RefSeq lists it as uncharacterized. The record is from RefSeq and is a predicted model, not a curated record. NCBI's taxonomy places the organism in Eukaryota, Metazoa, Chordata, Mammalia, Carnivora, Canidae. The transcript is spliced from 2 exons.